AGAAUCAACGCUGGCGGCGUGCCUAACACAUGCAAGUCGAACGAGAACGGGUAGCAAUACCUUAGUAAAGUGGCGCACGGGUGAGUAACACGUGACUAACCUACCCUGGAGUGGGGGAUAACCGAGAGAAAUCUUAGCUAAUACCGCAUAACACCUACGGGUCAAAGGAGCAAUUCGCUUCAGGAGGGGUCGCGGCAGAUUAGGAUAGUUGGCGGGGUAAUGGCCCACAAGUCAGUGAUCUGUA
This 244-nucleotide ribosomal RNA is filed under the name uncultured bacterium. RNAcentral's name for it is "partial small subunit ribosomal RNA". It matches the Rfam family "Bacterial small subunit ribosomal RNA", at positions 26 to 285 of the family's 1533-position model. The record is from RNAcentral.